GCUUGCAUUAUCAAUGCUCCGAGAAAACAGAAAUGGUUUUGACAUCGUUAUAAGUGAUGUACACAUGCCAGACAUGGAUGGUUUCAAACUUCUUGAGCAUGUUGGUCUGGAAAUGGACCUGCCUGUUAUAAUGAUGUCUGCGGAUGACAGUAAGGAUGUCGUUAUGAAAGGUGUUACUCAUGGUGCAUGUGAUUAUCUGAUCAAACCGGUGCGUAUUGAGGCUUUGAAGAACAUUUGGCAGCAUGUGAUUCGUAAAAAGAAGCACGAAUGGAAGGACAGAGAUUUUGAUCAAUCAACAAGCGUGGAAGAUGGAGAUCAACAGCAGAAACCUCCAGAAGAUGUUGAUUAUUCCUCUUCAGCUAAUGAAGGGAAUUGGAAAAGCUCGAAGAGAAGAAAGGAGGAGGAAGAUGAAACUGAAGAAAGGGAUGAUUCAUCUACAUUAAAGAAGCCACGUGUGGUUUGGUCGGUGGAGCUUCAUCAACAGUUUGUACAAGCUGUCAACCAACUUGGAAUUGACAAGGCUGUUCCCAAGAAAAUUCUCGAGCUGAUGAAUGUUCCUGGGCUAACCAGAGAAAAUGUUGCUAGCCACCUACAGAAAUAUCGGCUGUACCUAAGGAGGUUGAGCGGUGUAUCACAGCAUCAGAAUGGACUGAAUAACUCGUUCAUGGGGCACCCAGAAGCAACAUAUGGGACAAUGACUUCUUUCAAUGGGCUAGAGCUUCAAGCUUUAGCUGCCACCGGUCAACUACCCGCACAAAGUCUUGCUACCCUCCAGGCGGCUGCAUUAGGUAGGUCUGCGACAAAAUCUGCCAUAUCGAUGCCUCUAGUAGAUCAAAGAAACCUUUUCAGCUUUGAAAAUCCGAAGUUAAGAUUUUCCGAGGGACAACAACCAUUAAAUAAUAGCAAUAAGCAAAUUAACUUGCUUCAUGGGAUCCCAACUACCAUGGAACCGAAGCAGCUGGCUGAUUUGCACCAGUCCUCACAGUCCUUUGUGGCUAUGAAUAUGCAAGGGAAUGCUAGAAUGCAACAAAACAACGCUCUACUAAUGCAUAUGUCUCAACAACAACAACAAUCGUCUAGGGCUCAAAUGCUAAAUGAAACCAAUAAUGGUCACGUUUCAAGGCCGCCAUUGUCCAUGUCACAACCUGCUGCAGUCUUAUCACGAAAUAGCAUUGUUGACAACGUACGAGGGCCAAUUUACAAUCCAG
This 1208-nucleotide unclassified non-coding RNA is filed under the name Hevea brasiliensis (rubber tree). Lineage: Eukaryota; Viridiplantae; Streptophyta; Magnoliopsida; Malpighiales; Euphorbiaceae. The record is from RNAcentral.